AACAUUUUUAUAAGAAGCUAAAACGUGGCAAUUUAAAGAUAUAUUUUAUCACAGUAUUAAUGAAGAUAAGAUCGAUCAAUACUAACUUUGUAAAUAAGUUUAAUGAUAAUAUAAUGAAUAAAUUACAUUGAAAAAAGAAAAAAUAUUACAAAGAGAAAAAACUUAAAAGAAAAAAACUUUUAACAAACAAAGCAUUAUAAUAAUAAAACAAAAGGCUAACAAAUUAAGUGUUUAAACAGUUGACCAAUAUUUAGAUCGGCGAUUAGAAAUUAGAACUGUUUAGUAUGAGUUUACCAUACGGCACAAUCUAAAAUUGACAAUAAAUGAACUAUUUUUCAAAUAGUGUUGUAUUUUGUCUAUCGUUUCGCUAUACCGUAAGAUCGUUUGAAUCCAAAGUUAAAAAAUAUUACUACCCCUUAGAAUUGUAAACUAAGUACAAUUUAAUUGAAUAUAAUAUCGGCAAUCUACGUAUAGCUGUUGAAAAUUAUUAGUGAAGAAAUAACUCUAAUCAAAAUUAUAAUUUAUUCGAUUUUAUGGUACCUGCAUGAAUAUAUUAAAAAUCGCAUAGUAAAAUAAUCGGCGAUGUUUGUAUAUGUACGAGUAUAUUGUAUUCAUGUAAGCGAUCCACUGCUAAGUUUAUCUCACUUAUGUUUCAGAAAUUUGGUAUAUUUAAAAGUAAUCCUAUACACGAAGAUGUAUAUACUUUGAAGGUUAAAAUUGAAUAUAAUUUAGACCUGUAUUUUAUUACAUGACCAAACAACUCAACGAAUGUGUUAAAACAUGUGAAGCUUACACUUAAACGGAGUAUAAAAUAUAAAUCGGAAUAAAUCAACUUUCAUAUGUUACAUGAAAUGCUGUGCAGAAUCAGCAAGUAGUAAAAUAAGCUCAGCAUAUUGUAACGAAUACGGUUAUAUUUAAGGCGUUAUGACAUAGGCAAUUUUGCCGCUUGUAGCGAGCUGAUGUACAGUGUUUAGGUACAUAUGCGAGAGAGGAAAAUUAUUCAUUAAGUUAUGUUAGCAGUCACACGAAAUUAGUCUGAAGAAACAAAAGCAAUUAUUUUGAACAAAGAAAUAUUCAAUAAUCAUCUGACGAAAAUGUAUUAUUGAAAGUGAUUUAGACGCUUUUGAUUUUAAAUAAUAUGAUAAAGUGUAUAAAAAAUUAAUCGAUUUGGCAACAAGACUUUAUUACCUGUCCAUCAUAAUGUACAACUAUUGUUUCACUACAUUUUAUUUAGUAACCAUUUGCCAUUGAUAAAUGAUAAUGUUUAUAAUUUAUUACUUUUCGGGAUAUUUAUAAUAUCGUAAGACAAAAAAAAACAAAUCCUUCAACUGCAGAUAUGUAAAAUAACAAUUCAGCAUAAAUAACUUGUUUGAAAAUUACGAUUCGAGAUCACCGAAUUCUAUAACUCGUUUCAAGUCAGAUAUUUUCGGGCUAGUUUCUUCCGUUAUGAUAUUAAAAAAGAGUCGAUAAUUUAUUUAAAUAUAAUUAUAUAAUAUAAAUUUAAAUAUAAUUCACACCGAAAACUAAUAUUAAAUCAAUGAAAAGGGGGAUAAACUAUUUAAAAAGUUGAAGUAAUCCAACAAUUUUAAUUUUUUAUUUUAUUCGUUAAUAAUUUUGUAAUCAACUUAAGAACUAAAUUAAAUAGUU
Molecule: long non-coding RNA, 1647 nt
Organism: Aphis gossypii (cotton aphid)
Lineage: Eukaryota; Metazoa; Arthropoda; Insecta; Hemiptera; Aphididae
Exons: 3
Source: RefSeq, a predicted model, not a curated record